GCAUGAAAAAUAAAUACUUUUAUUUGAACCUUUUGUGACUGAGUCACUGUCUUCUUGUAUAUAUUAACUCUUUGUUUUACUUGAUAUUGCCGAUUUAGUAUACACAUUUAUGAUAUAAUUGGUUUACGGCUUUAAAAAAGUAUUUCUUGACGAUCCCUGCCAAGUGUUUGAAUUUUAUUUGAAAAAUACCGAGCACGCAAAAUAAGACUUUGAAAAUCACGAUGCACGUAAAAUUAAAUAAGCAGAACACGUUGAACGAGACACCCGUCUUGCACGACUGGACGUCAAAUAAAAAAG
Molecule: long non-coding RNA, 297 nt
Filed under: Mytilus galloprovincialis (Mediterranean mussel)
Lineage: Eukaryota; Metazoa; Mollusca; Bivalvia; Mytilida; Mytilidae
Source: RNAcentral